Micropterus dolomieu (smallmouth bass) is the source of this 971-nucleotide long non-coding RNA. RefSeq lists it as uncharacterized. The record is from RefSeq and is a predicted model, not a curated record. The transcript has 3 exons. Lineage: Eukaryota; Metazoa; Chordata; Actinopteri; Centrarchiformes; Centrarchidae.
AAAGGAGAAGGUUCGAAGGGGAAAAGUGUAAAGAAGUUAAAGAAGGGUGAGGUCAACUACUGUCCAGAUCCGCCUGAAGGACAGAGUCCAGAAAACAUGGAGGAGAAGCGUAAUAUGAUGGAGGCUGAAAUGCUGAAAAGAGACCCUGAUCCCCAGCUGGUAGAAGACCUGAUGGUUGCUACGUUUUCCCAGCGCAGAAAAGAGAUAAUUGGAGAUCAGUCACUCAUCACAGAAGUCAUUUCCAGAUGGCCAGCUCUGUUGCAUGAGAGACAGACUUGAUGGCCUGGUCCCAAGACUGCUAGAGGUGUACAAAGAAGCAAUCACUCAAAGACAUUUUGGACUGCCUUCAGAAAGAUGAUACAAAUGAGAAGAGAAGAACUGCUGCCUUGCUUGGUCUGCCACACUACAUAUCAGGCGAAGAUCCAUCAACUGUAGUCAGGAUGUGUGACGUAAGACCAUUAUGAUUUCUGUAACGCAAAACUGUUAGUGUGUGUAUAUGGGUGAUUCUUUUACUGUGGGACUUUUUCUUUUCCCAGGGUAGAUUUUCAAGAAAGAAAAAUACUUCAUACCCCAACCCAGACUUAUUAACGUUGCCUGUCUAAUAGUCAUGAAAACUCAUUCAAUUCAUUCAAACUUUACUUUGCAUUUUCUCAUAACUUAAAUGACAGAUUUCAAGUUCAUGUGGUUUAUAAUGUGUAAUUUACACUUCUUUUUUUCUUUAUAUAUGGCUGUUCCGGUCACUCAUCUUUUAGAGAACAAUUUUAAAACAUUUGCUAAAGUGCUUCAGUGUCUGAACUAUUUCUGUCUUACUUCCAAGGGUUGAAAUUCUGAAAAUGAAUUGAUAGUUGGUGUUACUGAUCAGGUUCAGUCUAUUUGGGGAACAACUAAAGGGUGUGACUUUCCUGCUCUAUAUUUGAGGAUUAUGAUUGCAUUUUAAAAUAGCCUUUUAAAGCCUAUGUAAUUGUAGACUA